Molecule: long non-coding RNA, 568 nt
Organism: Fukomys damarensis (Damara mole-rat)
Lineage: Eukaryota; Metazoa; Chordata; Mammalia; Rodentia; Bathyergidae
Exons: 3
Source: RefSeq, a predicted model, not a curated record
CUGGAACUCAUAAGAGAUCAUUUACUGUGGAGCACACUGGUGAGCUGACAAGUGAACAGGCCGGUGCAGCAUCACAAAGACCCUACUACAACAACAGGGAAACCAAAAAGAUGUCAGCUGUGUCCUACAAGAAAGGACUGGAAAACAAGACAUACAUGCUAUUCGUGUAACUGAUACUUCAACUUCCUGCCACCAGAUGUGGAUACCUGUGCUGACACUCUCACCCCCUCCAGCCAGUCACUGUGAAGGAAGAAUCUCACCUGCGUAAGACCACAGAAGGGUUCUGGACUUCACCUCAGCCAUGGCAACAAAAGGCCUUAUGCUCUCUGUGGGAGCAUCCUGCCUUUGUCCGAUCCAGCUUGGUGCGUCAGUCUCUGCAAACAACAAAAGAUGUGGCCACCCGGCUGGCUGUCCCUGCCCCCAUCGGAACACUAAGGGAGGCAGAGGCCUCUUUGAUUGGAGCCAAGGAGAGCAGCAGACAGGUACAGAUCAGCAGACUGGGGGCAGGGCUCCUGAGAGAGGUCAUGCUUAAUAAACCUGAUUAAUUUCUUGAGCAGCGGCAGUGCAA